ACUCGACUCUCGGCAACGGAUAUCUCGGCUCUCGCAUCGAUGAAGAACGUAGCGAAAUGCGAUACCUGGUGUGAAUUGCAGAAUCCCGUGAACCAUCGAGUCUUUGAACGCAAGUUGCGCCCGAGGCCACCCGGCCGAGGGCACGCCUGCCUGGGCGUCACGC
This 163-nucleotide ribosomal RNA is filed under the name Bambusa oldhamii. RNAcentral describes it as "5.8S ribosomal RNA". It matches the Rfam family "5.8S ribosomal RNA". From Rfam's summary of the family: 5.8S ribosomal RNA (5.8S rRNA) is a component of the large subunit of the eukaryotic ribosome. It is transcribed by RNA polymerase I as part of the 45S precursor that also contains 18S and 28S rRNA. The record is from RNAcentral. Lineage: Eukaryota; Viridiplantae; Streptophyta; Magnoliopsida; Poales; Poaceae.